Molecule: ribosomal RNA, 490 nt
Filed under: uncultured bacterium
Lineage: Bacteria
Description: partial 16S ribosomal RNA
Rfam family: Bacterial small subunit ribosomal RNA
Source: RNAcentral
AUUGAACGCUGGCGGCAGGCCUAACACAUGCAAGUCGAACGGUAACAGGAAGACGCUUGCUUCUUUGCUGACGAGUGGCGGACGGGUGAGUAAUGUCUGGGAAACUGCCUGAUGGAGGGGGAUAACUACUGGAAACGGUAGCUAAUACCGCAUAACGUCGCAAGACCAAAGAGGGGGACCUUCGGGCCUCUUGCCAUCGGAUGUGCCCAGAUGGGAUUAGCUUGUUGGUGGGGUAACGGCUCACCAAGGCGACGAUCCCUAGCUGGUCUGAGAGGAUGACCAGCCACACUGGAACUGAGACACGGUCCAGACUCCUACGGGAGGCAGCAGUGGGGAAUAUUGCACAAUGGGCGCAAGCCUGAUGCAGCCAUGCCGCGUGUAUGAAGAAGGCCUUCGGGUUGUAAAGUACUUUCAGCGGGGAGGAAGGGAGUAAAGUUAAUACCUUUUCUCAUUGACGUUACCCGCAGAAGAAGCACCGGCUAACUCCGUG